AUGUCUGUUCAGGGCGAGGUGAAAUUCCUCACUGGCGGUAACGGGGAAACCCGAAGUCCGCGACCCUCUUAACGGAGGCUGAUUCGGUGCAAGUCCGAAACCAACGGUUACAGUCCGGAUGGAAGAACACGAUG
RNAcentral lists this non-coding RNA (134 nucleotides) under Slackia heliotrinireducens. Its description in RNAcentral is "FMN sequence". It matches the Rfam family "FMN riboswitch aptamer (RFN element)". Rfam says of the family: The RFN element is a highly conserved domain that is found frequently in the 5'-untranslated regions of prokaryotic mRNAs that encode for flavin mononucleotide (FMN) biosynthesis and transport proteins. This element is a metabolite-dependent riboswitch that directly binds FMN in the absence of proteins. RNAcentral also lists the same sequence under 1 other name. The record is from RNAcentral. Lineage: Bacteria; Bacillati; Actinomycetota; Coriobacteriia; Eggerthellales; Eggerthellaceae.